AUACCCGCAGCCCAAGUGGUGGUCGAUUUUAUUGAGUCUAAAACGUUCGUAGCCGGUUCAUUAAAUCCUUGGGUAAAUCGGAUGGCUUAACUAUCCGAAUUCCGGGGAGACUGGUGAACUUGGGACCGGGAGAGGCAAGAGGUACUUUUGGGGUAGGGGUAAAAUCCUGUAAUCCUAAAAGGACCACCGGUGGCGAAGGCGUCUUGCUAGGACGGAUCCGACGGUGAGGGACGAAGCCCUGGGUCGCAAACGGGAUUAGAUACCCCGGUAGUCCAGGGUGUAAACGCUGCAGACUUGGUGUUGGGGACCCUUCGGGGGUGUUCAGUGCCGGAGAGAAGUUGUUAAGUCUGCUACUUGGGGAGUACGUCCGCAAGGAUGAAACUUAAAUGAAUUGGCGGGG
Molecule: ribosomal RNA, 400 nt
Filed under: uncultured bacterium
Lineage: Bacteria
Description: partial 16S ribosomal RNA
Rfam family: Archaeal small subunit ribosomal RNA
Source: RNAcentral